Molecule: ribosomal RNA, 273 nt
Filed under: Clostridium botulinum
Lineage: Bacteria; Bacillati; Bacillota; Clostridia; Eubacteriales; Clostridiaceae
Description: partial 23S ribosomal RNA
Rfam family: Bacterial large subunit ribosomal RNA
Source: RNAcentral
AGGAAAUUUGAGAGGAGCUGUCCUUAGUACGAGAGGACCGGGAUGGACCAACCUCUGGUGCACCAGUUGUCACGCCAGUGGCACAGCUGGGUAGCUAUGUUGGGACUGGAUAAACGCUGAAAGCAUCUAAGCGUGAAGCCAACCUCAAGAUGAGAUUUCCCAUAGCGUAAGCUAGUAAGACUCCUGGAAGAACACCAGGUUGAUAGGUCAGAGAUGUAAGCAUGGCAACAUGUUAAGUUGACUGAUACUAAUAAGUCGAGGGCUUGACCAAAA